ACGGUCAUAACAUGCAAAAAACAUCGGUUCUCUUCCGAUCACCGAAGUUAAGCAUCAUCGGGCGUGGCCAGUACUUGGGAGGGUUACCACCUGGGAACACCGCAUGCA
This is a non-coding RNA of Trichonephila clavata, 108 nucleotides long. The record is from the annotation of a GenBank genome assembly. NCBI's taxonomy places the organism in Eukaryota, Metazoa, Arthropoda, Arachnida, Araneae, Nephilidae.